GCCUGGCUGGCUCAGUCGGUGGAGCAUCUGACUCUUGAUCCCAGGAUUGUGAGUCCAAGCCCCACGUUGGGCA
RNAcentral lists this transfer RNA (73 nucleotides) under Felis catus (domestic cat). It matches the Rfam family "tRNA". Rfam says of the family: Transfer RNA (tRNA) molecules are approximately 80 nucleotides in length. Their secondary structure includes four short double-helical elements and three loops (D, anti-codon, and T loops). Lineage: Eukaryota; Metazoa; Chordata; Mammalia; Carnivora; Felidae. The record is from Rfam by way of RNAcentral.